This 253-nucleotide ribosomal RNA is filed under the name uncultured prokaryote. Its description in RNAcentral is "partial 16S ribosomal RNA". It matches the Rfam family "Bacterial small subunit ribosomal RNA", at positions 525 to 777 of the family's 1533-position model. The record is from RNAcentral.
ACAGAGGGUGCAAACGUCGCUCGGAAUUACUGGGCGUAAAGCGCGUGUAGGCGGACUGGUGUGUCGGAUGUGAAAUCCCCAGGCUCAACCUGGGAACUGCAUUCGAAACUGCCAGCCUUGAGUGGUGGAGAGGGAAGUGGAAUUCCUGGUGUAGAGGUGAAAUUCGUAGAUAUCAGGAGGAACACCAGUGGCGAAGGCGGCUUCCUGGACACCAACUGACGCUGAGACGCGAAAGCGUGGGGAGCAAACAGGA